AGGACGAACGCUGGCGGCGUGCUUAACACAUGCAAGUCGAGCGGAAAGGCCCUUCGGGGUACUCGAGCGGCGAGCGGGUGAGUAACACGUGAGCAACCUGCCCUUAGCUUCGGGAUAGCUCCGGGAAACCGGAAUUAAUACCGAAUAUGACUUUGGCUGACAUCAGCAGAAGUGGAAAGUUUUUCGGCUAGGGAUGGACUCGCGGCCUAUCAGCUAGUUGGUGAGGUAACGGCCCACCAAGGCGACGACGGGUA
This 254-nucleotide ribosomal RNA is filed under the name uncultured bacterium. RNAcentral describes it as "partial small subunit ribosomal RNA". It matches the Rfam family "Bacterial small subunit ribosomal RNA", at positions 26 to 285 of the family's 1533-position model. The record is from RNAcentral.